Molecule: transfer RNA, 78 nt
Filed under: Rhodospirillales bacterium
Lineage: Bacteria; Pseudomonadati; Pseudomonadota; Alphaproteobacteria; Rhodospirillales
Description: tRNA-Gly
Source: RNAcentral
GCGGAAAUGAGUACAGGGGCACGAAUAGCAACCUUGCCAAGGUUGGGGUCGAGGGUUCGAAUCCCUUCGCCCGCUCCA